AGACUGAGUUUUGCUCUUGUUGCCCAGGCUAUUGGUUGCCUGGAAGAUGGAGGAAGAGGCCGUGAACCAAGGAUGUGGGCAGCCUCUAAAAGCUGGAGAAGGCGAGGAAAAUUUCUCCCUGAGAGCCUCCAGAAGGAACCAGCUAUGCGGACACAUUGAUGCUAGCCUACAGAGACCCAUUCUGUACUUCUGACUUCCAGAAUUGUAAAGAAUACAUUUGUGGAAUUUUUUUUUUUUUUUUUUGAGAGUCUCACUCUGUCACCCAGGCUGGAGUGCAGUGGUAUGACCUCGGCUCACUGCAACCUCUGCCUCCCGGGUUCAAGCGAUUCUCCUGCCUCAGCUUCCCAUGUAGCUGGAAUUACAGGCAUGCGCCACCACAUCCA
Molecule: long non-coding RNA, 383 nt
Filed under: Pan troglodytes (chimpanzee)
Lineage: Eukaryota; Metazoa; Chordata; Mammalia; Primates; Hominidae
Description: lincRNA
Source: RNAcentral